GUGGGGAAUAUUGGACAAUGGGCGCAAGCCUGAUCCAGCCAUGCCGCGUGAGUGAUGAAGGCCCUAGGGUUGUAAAGCUCUUUCACCGAUGAAGAUAAUGACGGUAGUCGGAGAAGAAGCCUCGGCUAACUUCGUGCCAGCAGCCGCGGUAAUACGAAGGGGGCUAGCGUUGUUCGGAAUUACUGGGCGUAAAGCGCACGUAGGCGGAUAUUUAAGUCAGGGGUGAAAUGCCAGAGCUCAACUCUGGAACUGCCUUUGAUACUGGGUAUCUCGAGUAUGGAAGAGGUGAGUGGAAUUCCGAGUGUAGAGGUGAAAUUCGUAGAUAUUCGGAGGAACACCAGUUGCGACGGCGGCUCACUGGUCCAUUACUGACGCUGAGGUGCGAAAGCGUGGGGAGCAAACAGGAUUAGAAACCCUUGUAGUCC
Molecule: ribosomal RNA, 425 nt
Filed under: uncultured bacterium
Lineage: Bacteria
Description: partial 16S ribosomal RNA
Rfam family: Bacterial small subunit ribosomal RNA
Source: RNAcentral